Long non-coding RNA from Dermochelys coriacea (leatherback sea turtle), 567 nucleotides. RefSeq lists it as uncharacterized. The transcript has 3 exons. The record is from RefSeq and is a predicted model, not a curated record. Lineage: Eukaryota; Metazoa; Chordata; Testudines; Dermochelyidae.
GCUAGAGAUAAUGUCCAAGGUGCAUUAGCCUUGCAGCUGGUCGUUAAUCCUCAGGAAAUGACCUGUUUCUUGAUUGUUAUGGCUUAAAUAUUCUGUCCGUGUUUUAUUUCUGAUCUUUCUUGCACCAUGAGUAGUAGCUUCAGUUUGUGAUUUCACCCUUUCUAGACCUAAGAGAGAGAACAGGUUCCACUCCUGCUAUGAAGCAGAAAUAUGAUCCGUUCUGACAUACGGACUGUGUAUAUAAGGAAGCUAGUUACUCAGGGGCGGGGGCAGCAGCAGCAGCAUUUGACACCAGAAUAAUGAACUCAGCAAAUCUUUACUAGCUUUCUGUGGGCUGGAAUAUCAUGAGAGAGGAUGUAGGACUUGUGAGGUUAACCUGCUUCCUCUAGAGAAGAAGGUCCAAGCAGAGAGAGUGAGAGGAUGGGAGUGUGAGGGAAGAUAGGGAGAAAGCUGGAAAGUUACAGAGCUGAGGGGAGAAAGGACAGCAAGGAAGGGCAUUUGAUGGAGAGAGAAGUUAGGGCAUGAAAGUGACUGAGUGAUGGCAGAGAUGUCAAGAGAGUGGUAGAU